Picea glauca (white spruce) is the source of this 45-nucleotide non-coding RNA. The record is from Rfam. NCBI's taxonomy places the organism in Eukaryota, Viridiplantae, Streptophyta, Pinopsida, Pinales, Pinaceae.
UAAACGGAUCUCCCUAGAUCCACCUAUAUAUAGAACAAAAUAGAA